Molecule: ribosomal RNA, 1292 nt
Filed under: Staphylinidae sp. BMNH 1274171
Lineage: Eukaryota; Metazoa; Arthropoda; Insecta; Coleoptera; Staphylinidae
Description: large subunit ribosomal RNA
Rfam family: Archaeal large subunit ribosomal RNA (bases 1048-1206)
Source: RNAcentral
AUCAGUUUAAUUUGAUAUUUUAAAUUUUUAUGUAUUUAAAAUAAAAAAAGAAAUUUUUGGUUUUAUUAUUCUAUAGAAAAAAUAAGUAUAAAUUAUAGUUUAUAGUAAAGUAAUUGAAAUAAAAUUAAAAUUUUAAAAGUAGAAUUUAUUUUUUGUACCUUGUGUAUCAGGGCUAAUUAAAAUAAAGUUAAAAAUUUUAAUAUUCUCGGUUUUAAAGGGGUAAAUUAUUUUUAUAUAUUAAUGUGUCAAAAUUAUUUUACAAAAAUAGUUAGUAAUGAAAUGUUAUUCGAUUUUUAAGAUAUCUAGUUUUUAAAGAAAAAAAUUUAAUUUUAUUAAAUUUAAUAUUUAAUUUUUUAUUAUAAAAGUUAAAUUUUUAUUUAAUUAUAUUAAUAGGGAUAAGCUUAUUAGUAGAUUAUUAAAAAUUUAUUUAAGGUUUUUAAGUAGUAGGAUUAAUAAUGUUCAACAUUUAAUUUAUUAUUAUUAAUUAAAAAUAAGAAAAGAUUUUUAUUAAAUUUUAAUGUUUUAUUUAAAUAUUAAAUUUAAUUUAUAAAUUUAAGAAAUUAUGAUUAGAUUAGUAUAAAUUUAUGUAUAAAGUAUUUUAUUAUUUAAGAUUCAAUAAAGGAAUUCAGCAAAUAUAUUUUUUGCCUGUUUAUUAAAAACAUGUCUUUUAGAUUAUAAUUUAAAGUCUAACCUGCCCACUGAAGUAUUAAAUGGCCGCAGUAUUUUGACUGUGCAAAGGUAGCAUAAUCAUUAGUUUUUUAAUUAAAAACUGGAAUGAAAGGUUGGACAAGAAAAUAACUGUCUCUAUGGGAAUUUUUUAGAAUUUUAUUUUUAAGUUAAAAAGCUUAAAUUUUAUUAAAAGACGAGAAGACCCUUUAGAGUUUUAUAUAAAUUUAUAAAUUAAAUUUAUUGUAUAAUAUUUAUUUAUUUUGUGUAUUUAUAUUUAAUUGGGGUGAUUAAAAAACUUAAUUAACUUUUUUUAUAUUUAAACAUUAAUUUAUGAUUUAUUGAUCCAUUUUUAUGAUUAAAAGAUUAAAUUACCUAAGGGAUAACAGCGUAAUUUUUUUUGAGAGCUCUAAUCGAUAAAAGAGUUUGCGACCUCGAUGUUGGAUUAAAAUUUUAUUUUGGUGAAGAAAUUAAAAUAAUAGGUCUGUUCGACCUUUAAAAUUUUACAUGAUCUGAGUUUAAACCGGUGUAAGCCAGGUUGGUUUCUAUCUUUAGUAAAGUUAAUAUUUUAGUACGAAAGGACCAAGUAUUAUUAAAAUUUAUUUUUAAAUGUUUAUUAUUAAUUA